AUGGAAAAUCAAAGCGCCGCUCGCUUGGGAGAAGAAAGCUUGAACGAAACCCCAAGACCACAAGCUAACUCAACAGCUAUGCUGGAUAACUUGCUUUCUGCACGUACAGCGCACCUGAACAUGGGUCUGUCUCAAACCAGGGAAAGUGACAGUAACUCAAUGAAUCAAUUUUCUCCCGAUUUUGAUGAGAGAUCGUCUUUGAGCUCCUUCAAAUCGAAAAGUCUCAAUCGUUCUGAAUUCUCUAAAUCCUCUUUAGGUAUUGUGAACGUCGAUCAAGUUUCAGAUUAUUACACUGGCUUUCUCACUGAUUUUGAUAAAGAUGAUGAUUCCGUGUCAUCCCAUGGCCGAAAUAGUAGAAAAUCAGAUAUAGAAAAACACCUUAGACAGUGUUUCGAGCGAGACUCUCUCGGACAAAGUUCAACCACCAAUGGGCAGUACAAAGAAAAAACAGUACCAGUAAAGUCAGCGUCAGUCAAUUCUUUUGAUAGCACUUCGGAGAAUACAGCUAACAUCAACAAAAUGAAAAAUAUUUUAAACAGUGUCAACAACUACACGAUGGGAAAUGAUCAGGUUUUGGAAAAUGUCAAUAGUGAUGUCGAUGAAAUAGAAAAUUAUUUUAAAACAUCAUGCAAGACAGCGGAGGAGUUAGAUGCUGUUUUCAAAACCUCUGACAAAGAUGGCAAAAAGAUGGAAGCCUUUUUAAAAGAUCUGCGUCACUGCCAGAAUGGUCAGUCAGAUUUUGAUGAACGCCUAAGCAAAAGCUCCAACUUUGAACCUCUGGAAAAAAGUUCAGUCAAGAAGAACAAUGAUGUCGACAGUAUUUUGGAUCCCAAAUGGACAGUGCAAGUUUCCAAUCAUUUGGAUUCUCCAGUGAUGAAUUUAAAGCACACAGUAUGA
This 897-nucleotide long non-coding RNA is filed under the name Bemisia tabaci. Its description in RNAcentral is "lncRNA ENSSSA1NGG004636". The record is from RNAcentral. Lineage: Eukaryota; Metazoa; Arthropoda; Insecta; Hemiptera; Aleyrodidae.